Molecule: small nuclear RNA, 23 nt
Filed under: Arabidopsis thaliana (thale cress)
Lineage: Eukaryota; Viridiplantae; Streptophyta; Magnoliopsida; Brassicales; Brassicaceae
Description: snRNA_15738
Source: RNAcentral
AUGUCAGCAAAGUGCAAAUAUAU